GACGAACCGUGCGAACGUUAUUCGGAAUCACUGGGCUUAAAGCGCGUGUAGGCGGGCGGGAACGUCGGUCGCUGAAAUCCCCCGGCUCAACCGGGGAACGGGCGCCGAAACGACCCGCCUGGAGGGACGUAGGGGGACCUGGAACUUCCGGUGGAGCGGUGAAAUGCGUUGAGAUCGGAAGGAACGCCCGUGGCGAAAGCGAGGUCCUGGACGUCUUCUGACGCUGAGACGCGAAAGCUAGGGGAGCGAACAGG
RNAcentral lists this ribosomal RNA (254 nucleotides) under uncultured bacterium. RNAcentral describes it as "partial 16S ribosomal RNA". It matches the Rfam family "Bacterial small subunit ribosomal RNA", at positions 524 to 776 of the family's 1533-position model. The record is from RNAcentral.